AGUGAACGCUGGCGGUAUGCCUAACACAUGCAAGUCGAACGGCAGCACAGUAAAAUCUUGCUCUUACGGGUGGCGAGUGGCGGACGGGUGAGGAAUACAUCGGAAUCUACUUUUUCGUGGGGGAUAACGUAGGGAAACUUACGCUAAUACCUCAUACCACCUACGGGUGAAAUCAGGGUAGAUUCGUACCUUUGCCUAUUGAAUGAGCCGAUGUCGGAUGAGCUAGUUGGCGGGGUAAAGGCCCACCAAGGCGACGAUCCGUAGCUGGUCUGAGAGGAUGAUCAGCCACACUGGAACUGAGACACGGUCCAGACUCCUACGGGAGGCAGCAGUGGGGAAUAUUGGACAAUGGGCGCAAGCCUGAUCCAGCCAUACCGCGUGGGUGAAGAAGGCCUUCGGGUUGUAAAGCCCUUUUGUUGGGAAAGAAAAGCAGCAGGUUAAUACCCCGCUGUUCUGACGGUACCCAAAGAAUAAGCACCGGCUAACUUCGUG
This 492-nucleotide ribosomal RNA is filed under the name uncultured bacterium. RNAcentral's name for it is "partial 16S ribosomal RNA". It matches the Rfam family "Bacterial small subunit ribosomal RNA", at positions 29 to 507 of the family's 1533-position model. The record is from RNAcentral.